RNAcentral lists this transfer RNA (66 nucleotides) under Loliolus beka. RNAcentral's name for it is "tRNA-Gly". The record is from RNAcentral. Lineage: Eukaryota; Metazoa; Mollusca; Cephalopoda; Myopsida; Loliginidae.
UACUUUAUUUAACACUUAUUAAACCUUUUGUUUGGAAAACAAAUAUACUACUUAUACUAAUAAAAU